Molecule: ribosomal RNA, 460 nt
Filed under: uncultured bacterium
Lineage: Bacteria
Description: partial 16S ribosomal RNA
Rfam family: Bacterial small subunit ribosomal RNA
Source: RNAcentral
CCUACGGGUGGCAGCAGUGAGGAAUAUUGGUCAAUGGACGAGAGUCUGAACCAGCCAAGUAGCGUGAAGGAUGACUGCCCUAUGGGUUGUAAACUUCUUUUAUAAAGGAAUAAAACGAGGCACGUGUGCCUUUUUGCAUUUACUUUAUGAAUAAGGAUCGGCUAACUCCGUGCCAGCAGCCGCGGUAAUACGGAGGAUCCGAGCGUUAUCCGGAUUUAUUGGGUUUAAAGGGAGCGUAGAUGGGUUGUUAAGUCAGUUGUGAAAGUUUGCGGCUCAACCGUAAAAUUGCAAUUGAUACUGGCAGUCGUGAGUACAGUUGAGGUAGGCGGAAUUCGUGGUGUAGCGGUGAAAUGCUUAGAUAUCACGAAGAACCCCGAUUGCGAAGGCAGCUUACUAAACUGUGACUGACAUUGAUGCUCGAAAGUGUGGGUAUCAAACAGGAUUAGAUACCCUUGUAGUC